This 497-nucleotide ribosomal RNA is filed under the name uncultured bacterium. RNAcentral describes it as "partial 16S ribosomal RNA". It matches the Rfam family "Bacterial small subunit ribosomal RNA", at positions 28 to 507 of the family's 1533-position model. The record is from RNAcentral.
GAUGAACGCUGGCGGCGUGCCUAAUACAUGCAAGUCGAGCGAACAGACGAGGAGCUUGCUUCUCUGAUGUUAGCGGCGGACGGGUGAGUAACACGUGGAUAACCUACCUAUAAGACUGGGAUAACUUCGGGAAACCGGAGCUAAUACCGGAUAAUAUUUUGAACCGCAUGGUUCAAAAGUGAAAGACGGUCUUGCUGUCACUUAUAGAUGGAUCCGCGCUGCAUUAGCUAGUUGGUAAGGUAACGGCUUACCAAGGCAACGAUGCAUAGCCGACCUGAGAGGGGGAUCGGCCACACUGGAACUGAGACACGGUCCAGACUCCUACGGGAGGCAGCAGUAGGGAAUCUUCCGCAAUGGGCGAAAGCCUGACGGAGCAACGCCGCGUGAGUGAUGAAGGUUUUCGGAUCGUAAAACUCUGUUAUUAGGGAAGACCAUAUGUGUAAGUAACUGUGCACAUCUUGACGGUACCUAAUCAGAAAGCCACGGCUAACUACGUG